AGCAGCGAUGGCGACGAGGAGGAAACCGUCGUGGAGAGAGAGGGAGAACAAUCGGAGGAGAGAGCGGAGGAGAAGAGCUGUUGCGGCGAAGAUUUAUACUGGUCUUAGAGCUCAAGGUAACUACAAUCUUCCAAAACAUUGUGACAACAAUGAGGUUCUCAAGGCUCUUUGUUCUGAAGCUGGUUGGGUUGUUGAAGAAGACGGAACUACUUAUCGCAAGGUUAGUAUCAAACGCACUUUUAUUUAGAUCUGAAGUUAUCUGAUGAUUUAACUGUUGAAUCUGAAGAUUUUCUUGGAUCUAGAUUCUGUCUGAUUUGACUUGAAGAAAGUGAAUUUAGGUUUCGUCUUAUACUAAUUUUAGAGCCGAAUUAGAACUUUCUUUUAACAUUUUGCUUUCUCCGGGUUACUAUAUUUAGAUCUCUCCUUUUAGCUUUUUAGUGUGUCUGAAAAUUUAAGCGACUAAGCCAUUAAUUGAUUGUGACAUUGUGCUAUUGUUUUAUGAGCAACAGGGACACAAGCCUCUACCUGGUGACAUGGCUGGAUCAUCUUCUCGAGCAACUCCUUACUCUUCCCAUAACCAAAGUCCUCUGUCUUCCACUUUUGAUAGCCCCAUCCUAUCUUACCAAGUCAGUCCCUCGUCUUCUUCGUUCCCG
Molecule: long non-coding RNA, 653 nt
Filed under: Arabidopsis lyrata
Lineage: Eukaryota; Viridiplantae; Streptophyta; Magnoliopsida; Brassicales; Brassicaceae
Description: long non-coding RNA (ALYR_LNC003032)
Source: RNAcentral